RNAcentral lists this ribosomal RNA (372 nucleotides) under uncultured organism. RNAcentral's name for it is "eukaryotic LSU rRNA". The stretch from base 5 to 158 matches the Rfam family "5.8S ribosomal RNA". The record is from RNAcentral.
UUAAAACUUUUAACAACGGAUCUCUUGGUUCUGGCAUCGAUGAAGAACGCAGCGAAAUGCGAUAAGUAAUGUGAAUUGCAGAAUUCAGUGAAUCAUCGAAUCUUUGAACGCACAUUGCGCCCCCUGGUAUUCCGGGGGGCAUGCCUGUUCGAGCGUCAUUUCACCACUCAAGCCUCGCUUGGUAUUGGGCAACGCGGUCCGCCGCGUGCCUCAAAUCGACCGGCUGGGUCUUCUGUCCCCUAAGCGUUGUGGAAACUAUUCGCUAAAGGGUGCUCGGGAGGCUACGCCGUAAAACAAACCCAUUUCUAAGGUUGACCUCGGAUCAGGUAGGGAUACCCGCUGAACUUAAGCAUAUCAAUAAGCGGAGGACGC